Molecule: ribosomal RNA, 468 nt
Filed under: uncultured bacterium
Lineage: Bacteria
Description: partial 16S ribosomal RNA
Rfam family: Bacterial small subunit ribosomal RNA
Source: RNAcentral
GACGAACGCUGGCGGCGUGCUUAACACAUGCAAGUCGAACGGAAAGGCCCUGCUUUUGUGGGGUGCUCGUGUGGCGAACGGGUGAGUAACACGUGAGUAACCUGCCCUUGACUUUGGGAUAACUUCAGGAAACUGGGGCUAAUACCGGAUAGGAGCUCCUGCUGCAUGGUGGGGGUUGGAAAGUUUCGGCGGUUGGGGAUGGACUCGCGGCUUAUCAGCUUGUUGGUGGGGUAGUGGCUUACCAAGGUUUUGACGGGUAGCCGGCCUGAGAGGGUGACCGGCGACAUUGGGACUAAGAUACGGCCCAGACUGCUACGGGAGGCAGCAGUGGAGAAUAUUGCACAAUGGGCGGAAGCCUGAUGCAGCAGCGCCGCGUGCGGGAUGACGGCCUUCGGGUUAUGAACCGCUUUCGCCUGUGACGAAGCGUGAGUGACGGUAAUGGGUAAAGAAGCACCGGCUAACUACGUG